Molecule: transfer RNA, 72 nt
Filed under: Ictidomys tridecemlineatus (thirteen-lined ground squirrel)
Lineage: Eukaryota; Metazoa; Chordata; Mammalia; Rodentia; Sciuridae
Description: Spermophilus tridecemlineatus (thirteen-lined ground squirrel) tRNA
Rfam family: tRNA
About the family: Transfer RNA (tRNA) molecules are approximately 80 nucleotides in length. Their secondary structure includes four short double-helical elements and three loops (D, anti-codon, and T loops).
Source: Rfam by way of RNAcentral
UGGGUUGUGGCUCAGAGGUAGAGCACUCGCCUAAUAAGUGCGGGGCCCUGGCUUCAAUUCUCAGCACCACAA